RNAcentral lists this non-coding RNA (424 nucleotides) under Cricetulus griseus (Chinese hamster). RNAcentral describes it as "Eukaryotic large subunit ribosomal RNA". It matches the Rfam family "Eukaryotic large subunit ribosomal RNA", at positions 2540 to 2880 of the family's 3401-position model. The record is from Rfam by way of RNAcentral. Lineage: Eukaryota; Metazoa; Chordata; Mammalia; Rodentia; Cricetidae.
CCUCAACUUGAUUGAAGUUCUUGUGUUGAUUGAAAUCAGUACCCGAAGCUCUGGCUGGAGGGUCAGUUUAAAUGGAAUAAGUUGGAUCCGGAAUGACCGAGGAGGUGUGGUCCAUUUUCUCUAGACCCGCUCAGGGGACAGUGCCAGGUGGGGAGUUUGACUGGGAUGGUACAUCUGUCAAACGGUAAUGCAGGUGUCCUAAGGCAAGCUCAGGGAGGACAGAAACCUCCCGUGGAGCGGAAGGGCAAAAAAGCUCACUUUUUCAGUACAAAUUUUCAGUACAAAUACAGACCAUGAAAGCAGAGCCUCACAAUCCUUCUGACCUUUUGGGUUUUAAGCAGGAGGUGUCAGAAAGGUUACCACAGGGAUAACUGGCUUGUGGUGGCCAAGUGUUCAUAGCGGAAGUCCCAUCAGGUUGCCUAAG